UGCGUAGGCGGCUUUUUAAGUUUGGUGUGAAAUCUCCCGGCUCAACUGGGAGGGUGCGCCGAAUACUGAGAGGCUAGAGUGUGGGAGAGGAAAGUGGAAUUCCUGGUGUAGCGGUGAAAUGCGUAGAUAUCAGGAGGAACACCGGUGGUGUAAACGGCUUUCUGGACCAUAACUGACGCUGAGGCACGAAAGCGUGGGUAGCAAACAGGAUUAGAUACCCUGGUAGUCCACGCCCUAAACGAUGCAUAUUUGGUGUGGGCCAUUCAUUUGGUCUGUGCCGGAGCUAACGCGUUAAAUAUGCCGCCGUGGGGAGUACAGUCGCAAGGCUAGAA
RNAcentral lists this ribosomal RNA (332 nucleotides) under uncultured bacterium. RNAcentral describes it as "bacterial SSU rRNA". It matches the Rfam family "Bacterial small subunit ribosomal RNA", at positions 568 to 899 of the family's 1533-position model. The record is from RNAcentral.